RNAcentral lists this ribosomal RNA (459 nucleotides) under uncultured bacterium. RNAcentral's name for it is "partial 16S ribosomal RNA". It matches the Rfam family "Bacterial small subunit ribosomal RNA", at positions 338 to 795 of the family's 1533-position model. The record is from RNAcentral.
CCUACGGGUGGCAGCAGUGAGGAAUAUUGGUCCAUGGACGCAAGUCUGAACCAGCCAAGCCGCGUGCAGGAAGACGGCUCUAUGAGUUGUAAACUGCUUUUGUACGAGGGUAAACGCAUACACGCGUAUCUUUCUGAAAGUAUCGUACGAAUAAGGAUCGGCUAACUCCGUGCCAGCAGCCGCGGUAAUACGGAGGAUACAAGCGUUAUCCGGAUUUAUUGGGCUUAAAGGGAACGUAGGCGGGCGUUCAAGUCAGCUGUAAAAUCGGGCGGCUCAACCGCGCCCCGCAGUUGAAACUGGACGCCGUGAGUACACAACAGGCAGGCGGAAUUCGUGGUGUAGCGGUGAAAUGCAUAGAUAUCACGAGGAACCCCGAUUGCGAAGGCAGCCUGCCGGGGUGCGACUGACGCUGAGGCUCGAAGGUGCGGGUAUCAAACAGGAUUAGAUACCCUUGUAGUC